CACACAGCACACAGGACCACUCAGCUACUAAGCGAAACCCGCACCAGAGCACUCGGAAAAGCCCGCCUUCCCUUCUGACUGGCAGGUCCGCCUAAAGGCUCUGAUUGGCCAGUAGGUCUUGAGUGACUCGAGCACCUCCCCUGGACUUAGAGUGUGCUGAAGAUGAAACACAUGCCAGUAAUCUUUGGGGAAAUGAUUGAGGGAAAAGGCCACUGAAAACGACCACAUAGUCAGCUGUACGUUAGAUGACCAUGGAGACAGAAAUGGAAAGAAAAUAGCCUAAGAAAAAGCUCAGAAACCCUGAAGUUUCCAGAGUGAAGUCUGUGAGUCUAUCCAGGUGCAAUGCUGCAUACCUAUAAUAACAGCAUCAAGAGGCUGAGGCAGGAGGAUUGCAAGCUUGAAGCCAGCAUGAACUACAUAGAACUACAUACAUGAACUCUGUCUGAUAAAAUAAAAUAAAGGAACAGUUAAUAGGCCCA
Molecule: long non-coding RNA, 479 nt
Organism: Mastomys coucha (southern multimammate mouse)
Lineage: Eukaryota; Metazoa; Chordata; Mammalia; Rodentia; Muridae
Exons: 3
Source: RefSeq, a predicted model, not a curated record